This 255-nucleotide ribosomal RNA is filed under the name Triticum aestivum (bread wheat). RNAcentral's name for it is "partial small subunit ribosomal RNA". The record is from RNAcentral. Lineage: Eukaryota; Viridiplantae; Streptophyta; Magnoliopsida; Poales; Poaceae.
AUGCAGCAGCAGAAGCAAAACAGCAGCAGCAGCGAAGAAGCCGGCGGCAGCUGGAGCAGAUCGGGCGCCGUGGUGCUAUGCUCCAUGGUGAGCAUAGGCGAGGCAGAGGGAAUCCAGGGGUCGUCGGCGUCGAUCGGUACUUCGGGAAGGUCAAGGAGGCAGGGGCGCGUCGGGGAACGUGAAGGUCGAGGAAGCCGGGUAGCCGUGGAGGUCAGCGGGCACGGCAACGGGACCUUGCUGGUGGACGACCAGUGA